Molecule: ribosomal RNA, 520 nt
Filed under: uncultured Glomus
Lineage: Eukaryota; Fungi; Glomeromycota; Glomeromycetes; Glomerales; Glomeraceae
Description: SSU rRNA
Rfam family: Eukaryotic small subunit ribosomal RNA
Source: RNAcentral
AGCAGCCGCGGUAAUUCCAGCUCCAAUAGCGUAUAUUAAAGUUGUUGCAGUUAAAAAGCUCGUAGUUGAAUUUCGGGGUCAGUAGGUCGGUCGUGCCACUGGUAUGAACUGGUUUUACUGAUUCCUCCCUCUUGAAGAACUGUAAUGCCAUUAAUUUGGUGUUGCAGGGAAUCAGGACUGUUACUUUGAAAAAAUUAGAGUGUUUAAAGCAGGCUUUAGCUUGAAUACAUUAGCAUGGAAUAAUGAAAUAGGACGUUUGAUCCUAUUUUGUUGGUUUCUAGGAUUGACGUAAUGAUUAAUAGGGAUAGUUGGGGGCAUUAGUAUUCAAUUGCCAGAGGUGAAAUUCUUGGAUUUAUUGAAGACUAACUACUGCGAAAGCAUUUGCCAAGGAUGCUUUCAUUAAUCAAGAACGAAAGUUAGGGGAUCGAAGACGAUCAGAUACCGUCGUAGUCUUAACCAUAAACUAUGCCGACUAGGGAUCGGAUGAUGUUAAUUUUUAAUGACUCAUUCGGCGCCUUAA